RNAcentral lists this ribosomal RNA (608 nucleotides) under Planomicrobium sp. BAB-5542. RNAcentral's name for it is "bacterial SSU rRNA". It matches the Rfam family "Bacterial small subunit ribosomal RNA", at positions 837 to 1444 of the family's 1533-position model. Lineage: Bacteria; Bacillati; Bacillota; Bacilli; Caryophanales; Caryophanaceae. The record is from RNAcentral.
CCCUUAGUGCUGCAGCUAACGCAUUAAGCACUCCGCCUGGGGAGUACGGCCGCAAGGCUGAAACUCAAAGGAAUUGACGGGGGCCCGCACAAGCGGUGGAGCAUGUGKUUUAAUUCGAAGCAACGCGAAGAACCUUACCAGGUCUUGACAUCCCGYUGACCGCCUUARAGAUAAGGCUUUCCCUUCGGGGACAGCGGUGACAGGUGGKGCAUGGUUGUCGUCAGCUCGUGUCGUGAGAUGUUGGGUUAAGUCCCGCAACGAGCGCAACCCUUGAUCUUAGUUGCCAGCAUUCAGUUGGGCACUCUAAGGUGACUGCCGGUGACAAACCGGAGGAAGGUGGGGAUGACGUCAAAUCAUCAUGCCCCUUAUGACCUGGGCUACACACGUGCUACAAUGGACGGUACAAAGGGCAGCCAACCCGCGAGGGGGAGCCAAUCCCAGAAAACCGUUCUCAGUUCGGAUUGCAGGCUGMAACUCGYCUGCAUGAAGCCGGAAUCGCUAGUAAUCGUGGAUCAGCAUGYCACGGUGAAUACGUUCCCGGGCCUUGUACACACCGCCCGUCACACCACGAGAGUUUGUAACACCCGAAGUCGGUGAGGUAACCCUUG